AUGGUGCUCUCUAGCUCCCGCCGCCCUCUCCUCCUCCUCCCCCUCGUCCUCCUCCUCUCCCUCGUCGCCGCCAUGACGGCGCUCACCUGCGCCACCUCCGAGGUCAUCGUGACCAGGUGCUGCUCCACCUCCGAGGUCAUCGUGACCAUGUGUUGCCCGCCGCCGACGCCCACCGUCAACGGCAGCUGCAGCCUCCUCUCGCUCGUCGACGCCCUCCCCUCGGCCGCCGCGCGGACGGGCUUCGCCUCUCUGUGGACCGGCGGCGCGAUCGUGCGCGGCUUCUGCUUCGGUGACACCGCGCCCGACCCGUGCCUCCGCUGCCUGUCCGACGCCAGCAGAAAGAUCACCGACCAGUGCGGCGACGCCAGCCGGCGCGCGGACUUCCUGAACGACGGCUGCUUCCUGGGCUACGCUGACACCAGCGCGUCCUCCGCCGGCACGGACGACGACAUCAGCGCGGGGAACUUCUUCGGGGACGCCGUCCCGCGCCUUGACGCCGCCGACAUGCAGAACCUCGUGGCCGUGGCGCAGUCCCUGUGCAUGCCGGACCGCGACGCACCGGAGUGCGCCCGGUGCCUGCGGGAUUCGACGCUGCAGAUGGCCAGGAGCUGGGGGGCCACCACCGGCGCCGUGCAAGGAAGCGUGGCCGCGGUCCUCGGCCCCGACUGCUACCUCCGCUUCGAGAUAUCGGCACCGCCGCCGCCCGUAGCAGAGCAGAUCCGUGAGUAG
This 729-nucleotide ribosomal RNA is filed under the name Triticum aestivum (bread wheat). RNAcentral describes it as "partial small subunit ribosomal RNA". Lineage: Eukaryota; Viridiplantae; Streptophyta; Magnoliopsida; Poales; Poaceae. The record is from RNAcentral.